This 2900-nucleotide ribosomal RNA is filed under the name Klebsiella pneumoniae. RNAcentral's name for it is "bacterial LSU rRNA". It matches the Rfam family "Bacterial large subunit ribosomal RNA". Lineage: Bacteria; Pseudomonadati; Pseudomonadota; Gammaproteobacteria; Enterobacterales; Enterobacteriaceae. The record is from RNAcentral.
UUAAGCGACUAAGCGUACACGGUGGAUGCCCUGGCAGUCAGAGGCGAUGAAGGACGUGCUAAUCUGCGAAAAGCGUCGGUAAGGUGAUAUGAACCGUUAUAGCCGGCGAUGUCCGAAUGGGGAAACCCAGUGUGAUUCGUCACACUAUCGUUAACUGAAUACAUAGGUUAACGAGGCGAACCGGGGGAACUGAAACAUCUAAGUACCCCGAGGAAAAGAAAUCAACCGAGAUUCCCCCAGUAGCGGCGAGCGAACGGGGAGCAGCCCAGAGUCUGAAUCAGCUUGUGUGUUAGUGGAACGGUCUGGAAAGUCCGACGGUACAGGGUGAUAGUCCCGUACACCAAAAUGCACAGGCUGUGAACUCGAAGAGUAGGGCGGGACACGUGGUAUCCUGUCUGAAUAUGGGGGGACCAUCCUCCAAGGCUAAAUACUCCUGACUGACCGAUAGUGAACCAGUACCGUGAGGGAAAGGCGAAAAGAACCCCGGCGAGGGGAGUGAAAAAGAACCUGAAACCGUGUACGUACAAGCAGUGGGAGCACCUUCGGGUGUGACUGCGUACCUUUUGUAUAAUGGGUCAGCGACUUAUAUUCUGUAGCAAGGUUAACCGUAUAGGGGAGCCGCAGGGAAACCGAGUCUUAACUGGGCGUUAAGUUGCAGGGUAUAGACCCGAAACCCGGUGAUCUAGCCAUGGGCAGGUUGAAGGUUGGGUAACACUAACUGGAGGACCGAACCGACUAAUGUUGAAAAAUUAGCGGAUGACUUGUGGCUGGGGGUGAAAGGCCAAUCAAACCGGGAGAUAGCUGGUUCUCCCCGAAAGCUAUUUAGGUAGCGCCUCGUGAACUCAUCUUCGGGGGUAGAGCACUGUUUCGGCUAGGGGGUCAUCCCGACUUACCAACCCGAUGCAAACUACGAAUACCGAAGAAUGUUAUCACGGGAGACACACGGCGGGUGCUAACGUCCGUCGUGAAGAGGGAAACAACCCAGACCGCCAGCUAAGGUCCCAAAGUCAUGGUUAAGUGGGAAACGAUGUGGGAAGGCACAGACAGCCAGGAUGUUGGCUUAGAAGCAGCCAUCAUUUAAAGAAAGCGUAAUAGCUCACUGGUCGAGUCGGCCUGCGCGGAAGAUGUAACGGGGCUAAACCAUGCACCGAAGCUGCGGCAGCGACACUAUGUGUUGUUGGGUAGGGGAGCGUUCUGUAAGCCUGCGAAGGUGUGCUGUGAGGCAUGCUGGAGGUAUCAGAAGUGCGAAUGCUGACAUAAGUAACGAUAAAGCGGGUGAAAAGCCCGCUCGCCGGAAGACCAAGGGUUCCUGUCCAACGUUAAUCGGGGCAGGGUGAGUCGACCCCUAAGGCGAGGCCGAAAGGCGUAGUCGAUGGGAAACAGGUUAAUAUUCCUGUACUUGGUGUUACUGCGAAGGGGGGACGGAGAAGGCUAUGUUAGCCGGGCGACGGUUGUCCCGGUUUAAGCAUGUAGGCUGAUUGUCCAGGCAAAUCCGGAUAAUCAAGGCUGAGGUGUGAUGACGAGGCACUACGGUGCUGAAGUAACAAAUGCCCUGCUUCCAGGAAAAGCCUCUAAGCAUCAGGUAACAUCAAAUCGUACCCCAAACCGACACAGGUGGUCAGGUAGAGAAUACCAAGGCGCUUGAGAGAACUCGGGUGAAGGAACUAGGCAAAAUGGUGCCGUAACUUCGGGAGAAGGCACGCUGGUGUGUAGGUGAAGCCCCUGCGGGUGGAGCUGAGACCAGUCGAAGAUACCAGCUGGCUGCAACUGUUUAUUAAAAACACAGCACUGUGCAAACACGAAAGUGGACGUAUACGGUGUGACGCCUGCCCGGUGCCGGAAGGUUAAUUGAUGGGGUUAUCCGUAAGGAGAAGCUCUUGAUCGAAGCCCCGGUAAACGGCGGCCGUAACUAUAACGGUCCUAAGGUAGCGAAAUUCCUUGUCGGGUAAGUUCCGACCUGCACGAAUGGCGUAAUGAUGGCCAGGCUGUCUCCACCCGAGACUCAGUGAAAUUGAACUCGCUGUGAAGAUGCAGUGUACCCGCGGCAAGACGGAAAGACCCCGUGAACCUUUACUAUAGCUUGACACUGAACAUUGAGCCUUGAUGUGUAGGAUAGGUGGGAGGCUUUGAAGCGUGGACGCCAGUCUGCGUGGAGCCAACCUUGAAAUACCACCCUUUAAUGUUUGAUGUUCUAACGUUGGCCCCUUACCGGGGUUGCGGACAGUGUCUGGUGGGUAGUUUGACUGGGGCGGUCUCCUCCCAAAGCGUAACGGAGGAGCACGAAGGUUAGCUAAUCCUGGUCGGACAUCAGGAGGUUAGUGCAAUGGCAUAAGCUAGCUUGACUGCGAGCGUGACGGCGCGAGCAGGUGCGAAAGCAGGUCAUAGUGAUCCGGUGGUUCUGAAUGGAAGGGCCAUCGCUCAACGGAUAAAAGGUACUCCGGGGAUAACAGGCUGAUACCGCCCAAGAGUUCAUAUCGACGGCGGUGUUUGGCACCUCGAUGUCGGCUCAUCACAUCCUGGGGCUGAAGUAGGUCCCAAGGGUAUGGCUGUUCGCCAUUUAAAGUGGUACGCGAGCUGGGUUUAGAACGUCGUGAGACAGUUCGGUCCCUAUCUGCCGUGGGCGCUGGAGAAUUGAGGGGGGCUGCUCCUAGUACGAGAGGACCGGAGUGGACGCAUCACUGGUGUUCGGGUUGUCAUGCCAAUGGCACUGCCCGGUAGCUAAAUGCGGAAGAGAUAAGUGCUGAAAGCAUCUAAGCACGAAACUUGCCCCGAGAUGAGUUCUCCCUGAGACUUUAAGUCUCCUGAAGGAACGUUAAAGACGAUGACGUUGAUAGGCCGGGUGUGUAAGCGCAGCGAUGCGUUGAGCUAACCGGUACUAAUGAACCGUGAGGCUUAACCUU